RNAcentral lists this long non-coding RNA (404 nucleotides) under Oryza brachyantha (malo sina). RNAcentral's name for it is "long non-coding RNA (OBRA_LNC000623)". The record is from RNAcentral. Lineage: Eukaryota; Viridiplantae; Streptophyta; Magnoliopsida; Poales; Poaceae.
CGGCGGGCCGGGGUGGUAUAAGCUGCGUGGGUUUCAGUCGCGCUGUCGCGAAUAUCUCCGGCAGAAAAAACAAAUAGCGCGGGAGCGGAUGCUGCUACCCAUCUUCUCCUUCUCGUCGCGGCGCUGGCGGAGGGAGGGAGGAGUAAAGAAAAGAGCAGGGGCUCGUGUUACGGGGCGGGGGUUAAUUUAAUGCGGUUUAGUGGAGGCGCGCGGGCUAAUUAUUAUUUUUAGGGAGGCGCGGCUGCUGCCUUGCUGCUGCUUCUUGCUGUUGUUGUGGUUGCCCCCGUUGGGAACUCGCGAAAGCUUCGGUUCUUUUGAGAAGAGAGCAGCGCAGCCGCACCGAGCGAGUCCUCUGUCUCUCUCGCGCGGGCGGUCUCGCCGCUGCGGUUGUGCGCUGGUCUUUG